Molecule: ribosomal RNA, 429 nt
Filed under: Acidobacteriota bacterium
Lineage: Bacteria; Pseudomonadati; Acidobacteriota
Description: Acidobacteria bacterium partial 16S ribosomal RNA
Rfam family: Bacterial small subunit ribosomal RNA
Source: RNAcentral
UGGGGAAUUUUGGACAAUGGGGGAAACCCUGAUCAAGCCAUCCCGCGUGUGCGAUGAAGGCCUUCGGGUUGUAAAGCACUUUUGGCAGGAAAGAAACGUCAUGGGAUAAUACCCCGUGAAACUGACGGUACCUGCAGAAUAAGCACCGGCUAACUACGUGCCAGCAGCCGCGGUAAUACGUAGGGUGCAAGCGUUAAUCGGAAUUACUGGGCGUAAAGCGUGCGCAGGCGGUUCGGAAAGAAAGAUGUGAAAUCCCAGAGCUCAACUUUGGAACUGCAUUUUUAACUACCGGGCUAGAGUGUAUCAGAGGGAGGUGGAAUUCCGCGUGUAGCAGUGAAAUGCGUAGAUAUGCGGAGGAACACCGAUGGCGAAGGCAGCCUCCUGGGAUAACACUGACGCUCAUGCACGAAAGCGUGGGGAGCAAACAGG